UACGGGGGGGGCAAGCGUUGUUCGGAAUUACUGGGCGUAAAGGGUGCGUAGGCGGUUCGCUAAGUUGGAUGUGAAAACUCUGGGCUUAACCCAGAGCCUGCAUCCAAUACUGGCGAGCUAGAGUUCUGGAGGGGGUAGCGGAAUUCCUGGUGUAGCGGUGAAAUGCGUAGAUAUCAGGAGGAACACCGGUGGCGAAGGCGGCUACCUGGACAGAGUCUGACGCUGAGGCACGAAAGCUAGGGGAGCAAACAGG
This 253-nucleotide ribosomal RNA is filed under the name uncultured bacterium. RNAcentral's name for it is "partial 16S ribosomal RNA". It matches the Rfam family "Bacterial small subunit ribosomal RNA", at positions 524 to 776 of the family's 1533-position model. The record is from RNAcentral.